CUUUAAGGAGUCACAUGUGUGGCCAUGUGCUAAACAGAGUGAGUACGGUAGUGUAUUAUUAGACAGAGUGAGUACGGUAGUGUAUUAAACAGAGUGAGUACGGUAGUGUAUUAAACAGAGUGAGUACGGUAGUGUAUUAAACAGAGUGAGUACGGUAGUGUAUUAAACAGAGUGAGUACGGUAGUGUAUUAAACAGAGUGAGUACGGUAGUGUAUUAUUAAACAGAGUGAGUACGGUAGUGUAUUAUUAAACAGAGUGAGUACGGUAGUGUAUUAUUAAACAGAGUGAGUACAGUAGUGUAUUAUUAAACAGAGUGAGUACGGUAGUGUAUUAUUAAACAGAGUGAGUACGGUAGUGUAUUAUUAAACAGAGUGAGUACGGUAGUGUAUUAUUAAACAGAGUGAGUACAGUAGUGUAUUAUUAAACAGAGUGAGUACGGUAGUGUAUUAUUAAACAGAGUGAGUACGGUAGUGUAUUAAACAGAGUGAGUACGUGUAUUAUUAAACAGAGUACGUACAGUAGUGUAUUAAACAGAGUGAGUACAGUAGUGUAUUAUUAGACAGUGAGUACGGUAGUGUAUUAAACAGAGUGAGUACGGUAGUGUAUUAAA
Long non-coding RNA from Oncorhynchus tshawytscha (Chinook salmon), 610 nucleotides. Lineage: Eukaryota; Metazoa; Chordata; Actinopteri; Salmoniformes; Salmonidae. The record is from Ensembl.